AGGCCUUUAGAUUAGGCAUACCAAAUUUGGUGUUGAUUUGAAGAAAUCUCUAGGAGGAGUUCGUUAAAAUACAACAUAUGGAAAUGACCAAAAUUACACAAAAUUUGCUCAUAAUAUUACAAAUAACCGACUUCCUGUUGGUUUUAGAAUUUUGCUCCAAGAGUCUUUUUUGUAGGUAUUGGUGUGUUACAUAUGUGUGCCAAUUUUCGUGCAUGUACGUGAAACAUAGCUCGAAGGCUGUUGAUUUUCUUCGUAUAGGUGGCGCUGUCGAGCCAUUUUGCCACACCCUCUUCUGAAUCCUAUAUCAGACAAAAAUUUUCACCUGGUUUUACGCGUGUGCAAAGUUUCAUGACUUUUUGAGCAUGUUUAAGCCCUCAAAAAUGCGAUUCAUUUUGGAGAAGCGGAAGAAUAAGAAUAAAUAUAGCUGCAAGCAGCGAUGGCGGGCUCAAGCCACCAAUGCCAUCACCACCCCGGUGGCAUCAGGUAAACUGUGUCCAGCGGGCACAUGCAUUCACAAUAUCCCUCUGGCAGUGAGGUUUUAAAGAAUAUGGCGGUUAAAGGGUUAAUCCGAAUCAUCUAGACUUUAAAAUCACAUUCACAGAACAAUAUACAUAUAUAUUCCUCAAACAUAUAUAUAUAUUUAGUAACACUUUACAAUAAGAUUUCAUUUAUAAACAUUAUGUUAACAUGAACAAUAUUUAUAUAGCAUUAAUUUAUGUCAGUUAAUAUUCCAAACUUAAACAUUAAAACAUUGUUUUAUUGUGAUUUUUUUCCAAGCACAUUUUACCAAUUCCAAACCAUAUCAAUCUUAAUAACUACCAUUAUUUUUUAUUUAAUCAUUUAUAAGUGCUAUACAAUAGUCCAGGAAAGCUGGAAGAGAAAAACUCCUUAUAUUCAUGUGUGCAGAAUCAUUAGGCAUGUUUUCUUUUACAGAUGAAAUGCGCUAAAAAAGAGUUUUAACUCAAACUGUUUUAACUCAAAGUCGAAAAUUAUGAAAUACCCAUGAGAAAUAUCAAACACAAAUGCAAUACAGAAAUGGAUAAGUUAAGACUUGACCAUUGUACAAAAAUGCUGACUGGGUCAUGAGGUCAGAAAAGAAGAAGAAAAAAAAAAACAGGUCAAGAAGAACUGACAAUGACAGAAUGUGAAGAUUAAUUUUUAGUCAAUUCUGCAAGACAGACUUUAAGGAAAGGAGGUGGAAUAAAAAUGAGCUCCUAAAUCUUAAUCCCGGAUUCUGGAAGAUAUAUUCCUCAAACCAUCGGACAAGAGGAGGUGGUGCUGGUCCUUCACGAGUCACUCUAAUCUGUUCAUAAAGCAUAUAUAUAAAGUCUUAAUAUAUAGUAUUUCACAAUACUUCAUGGUAUUCUAAUUAAAUCAUUUUUUUUGGAAUCUUUGAUUUCUCAGAACCUGACACAUUGUAAUUCUGAGACUCCAGGAAAGUGGCAGUUCUGUAAAAUGUUGGCACUGCAGACUAAAUGCUCCCUGAUAGUUUCACACCUAAUUCUUCACUUUAAUUCUUAAUUCUUUUCCAGUUAAGGUGUUAUGUAAAUUAAUUAAAUUAACUGGUUUAGGAUUACAAAUCAACUUGUACUAGUUUUUUUGUCCCUAAAACUGACAGAAAAUGAUGAGGCCUAAGAUAUUUCUUAAAGCUGCAGUAGGUAACUUUUAUAAAAAAAAUAUUUUUUUACAUAUUUGUUAACCUGUCAUUAUGUUCUGACAGUAGUAUAUGAGAUGGAUAAUUUGUGAAAAAAAUCAAGCUCCUCUGGCUCCUCCCAGUGGUCCUAUUGCCAUUUGCAGAAAUGCACCGCUCCCGUUAAGAAACAACCAAUCAAAGCUACGGUCCAUAACUUUUUUUUGUGUUCAAGAUUUACAAAAUGUACAUAAUAAGUGAGUACACCAUGAAUCCAUUUUCCAAACCGUGUUUUCAGCCUGUCCUGAAUCACUAGAGUACACCUAUAAUAAGUGUUUAUAUUCUGACUAUUUUAGAUUGCUUCAGUGAAGUAACCCAGUACCUUUGUGAUUCUUCAUAGACAUAAACAGAGAGAAGUAGUUCCGGCUACAAUGUUCUUCCGCAAGACGCAAGCAGUUCUGUUUAUUAACCGCUAGAGUGUCAAAAGUUACCUACUACAGCUUUAAGCUGUAAUGAUAAAAAAAACAAAAACAAAAAACAACACAAAAUUACUGAUUUUUUUUCUGCUGGUGAUUAAAGAGAUGUUAACUCUGAGAUGUUUCUCCCUGUCUCUCUCUCUCUCUCUCUCUUAAUAAUUUAUUAGUGUUUUGUAAUAAUUUUAUUGACCUAUAAUUCUGGUGAUUAAAGAGAUGAUUAAGUCUCCCUCCCUCUCUCUUUCUCUCUCUCUCUCUCUCUCUCUCUCUCUUUCUGACACCUAUCCCAUCCCUCUCCUCCACACAUUUACACAAACUCAGCACACACACCUAACACACACACACACACACACACAUUACCCACAGUGACAGAGGGACAGAGUGACAUCAGAUGUAUGAUAGUUUUUUAAUUUUCUAUCAUCCAUAUAGUGUUGUAUAGUCAUGAAACUAUGCAUAUUUCCUUCUUCUAUGUGUACCUUUUUUUGAAGUGUUUAGAGGCUGCACUUUAAAAGAAUAAAAGACAUUUACUGGUUCCUUUUUUACUGUUAUUUCAAAAAAUCAUCAUGACAAAACCAUUCAAGCUAUCCAAAUUCAUUCGCAACUGUUCUGUAAGAUAAAUUCUUUAAACAGUGGUAAAAGAGGAUGUGGUGCUGAACCUUCAAGAGUCACUCAAAACUUAUCUGUCCAUAAAGCCUAUAAAUAAUUAUACUUAAUACACAGUAUUUCACAAUACUUCAGCUUGUUAUUCUAAUUAAGUGAGGGUCAUUUUAUCAGUAAAAUACAUAAAAUACAUAUUUUUCUUUGAAAGAUUUCUAUAAAUGAUAUAAAUCAUUCUCGUUUCUACAAUAAUUAUUUAAAAGUAAUCCUAUAUCUCCAUCUGGUGGCCAUUAUUGGUACUAAGAAUUGCAAGCUUGAUUUAUAAGUUAUGAUAGUUUUAAUUUUAUGCUGGCUCCUGAACAUAAUAACGCUAUGAAACUUAGUGUGCUUCCUUCAAAUGAUGACUUCUACGUAUAUAAAAAAUUAUGAAGAGUUGGAAUGAAAAAUGUUAAAGAUAUAGUAAAAUAACUAUUGUAUUUUUUUUAUGUUAUUUUAAUAAAUCGCAAUGGCCACACCAUUUAAGGUAUCCUAAACCCAUUCACAAUUUAACAUCUUCAGUAUAUUGGCAUCAUGCUGAAAAAGUUUGGUGUGAACUACUUGUGUCUUCUUGGAGGAGUAUGAAUUCAUUUACAGGGUGAUUUUAUCAUAAAUUCACAAUAACAUUUCUGAGUUCUGUAUCAAUCAGUGUUGUUGUCUGUUAUUUUUAGUUUUUUUUAUUUUUCAUAGGAAGAUAACUGACCCUUUACUCUCCUUUUUAAUAAAUGUGCUUAUAAACCAAGAACAAGCUAUUUAUAGCUGUAUUUAUAAGCUCCUUACUAAUGACUAUUAAUGUUGGGACAAGACUUUAUAAAGCAUGAACGGACUAUUUACUAAUUAGUGCAGUUAUUAUAAAGUGUUACCAAUGCAUUUACUAAUGUUAACAAAUUAGACAUUAUUUUACAGUGUUAUAAAAUCCUUUAAUGACUUAUAAGCAUUUGUGAAAGUUCUGCUUGCAUUACAGCUUAGUCUUCAUCUGUGAGCUGAACAGUUUUACUGUUACAUCCAUGAGAUUAUGUAAAUUAAGAUAAAUGUCAUGUCACAGGAUGGAAUAGGUCAGUAUCAAAUGAGUUGAAAUUAUUAUUUGCAGCACAAAUAAGUAUUUUUAGAAUUUUGUUUUUAAUUCCUGAAACUGUCAGAAAAGGAUAAGGCCUAAGAGAUUUCUUAAGCUGUAAUGAAAACAGCAAUGUUAGCAACAGCAACAAAAAAUAACAAUUUAAAAUACAUUUUUUUUCUGGUGAUUAAAGAGAUGAUUAAGUCUCUCUCUCUCUCUCUCAUUGUGUCUGCCACUCAGCUCAUGCCCAUCCCCCACUCACACACACACACUCACACACACACAUGCACUCAGUCAGCACACAUACAUUGCUCAAACAGAGGGACAGAGUGAGUUGAGAUGUCUGACAGUUUUUUUUUUAUUUUCUUUUAAUCAUACAGUGUUGUAAGGUCAUGAAACUAUGCAUAUUUCCUCAGAAUGAUUUGAUCUUUGUAUGAAUUUUUUUUUAAGUGUUUGGAAGCUGCAAUUUAAAAAUACAAGACAAUUACUGAUUCCCUUUUUACUGUCAUUUCAAAAAAUCACCACGACAAAACGGUUCAAGCUAACCAAAAUCCGUUCGCAAUUUAAGUUCCUCAAUGUUUUUUCAACAUGUAGACAAAGUUUGGUGAGUAUAGUGAACAUUUCCUCUGAGGAGAAUGCAUUAAAUCAGAGCUCAAUUUAAAUAUUCAAAUCAAAAUAGCCGACUUCCUGUUGGUCGUAGCUGAUGACUGUGAAUUAGAAAGUUGUCCGUCUUGAUAAGAACAAUUUAUGUACCAAGUUUGGUGUCUGUAGCUAAAACUAAACCCCCCACUUUUGACAAAAGGUGGCGCUAUAGCGUGCCUCCUUCACGCCCUUUUAAAAGCUUUUGCCAUUGUCUAGCUAUCACUAAUACUGAUAUGUGUUUUGAGUUUCAUGUAAAUCUGAGGUUGUUGUCUGCC
This is a long non-coding RNA of Carassius gibelio (silver crucian carp), 4707 nucleotides long. RefSeq lists it as uncharacterized. The record is from RefSeq and is a predicted model, not a curated record. The transcript is spliced from 3 exons. Lineage: Eukaryota; Metazoa; Chordata; Actinopteri; Cypriniformes; Cyprinidae.